GCCUCGGUAGCUCAACUGGCAGAGCAACUGCUUCGUAAGCAGUAGGUUGAGGGUUCAAGUCCCUCUCGAGGCU
Molecule: transfer RNA, 73 nt
Filed under: Candidatus Aenigmatarchaeota archaeon
Lineage: Archaea; Nanobdellati; Candidatus Aenigmatarchaeota
Description: tRNA-Thr
Rfam family: tRNA
About the family: Transfer RNA (tRNA) molecules are approximately 80 nucleotides in length. Their secondary structure includes four short double-helical elements and three loops (D, anti-codon, and T loops).
Source: RNAcentral